GAUGAACGCUGGCGGCGUGCCUAAUACAUGCAAGUCGAGCGAACAGAUAAGGAGCUUGCUCCUUUGACGUUAGCGGCGGACGGGUGAGUAACACGUGGGUAACCUACCUAUAAGACUGGAAUAACUCCGGGAAACCGGGGCUAAUGCCGGAUAACAUUUAGAACCGCAUGGUUCUAAAGUGAAAGAUGGUUUUGCUAUCACUUAUAGAUGGACCCGCGCCGUAUUAGCUAGUUGGUAAGGUAACGGCUUACCAAGGCAACGAUACGUAGCCGACCUGAGAGGGUGAUCGGCCACACUGGAACUGAGACACGGUCCAGACUCCUACGGGAGGCAGCAGUAGGGAAUCUUCCGCAAUGGGCGAAAGCCUGACGGAGCAACGCCGCGUGAGUGAUGAAGGUCUUCGGAUCGUAAAACUCUGUUACUAGGGAAGAACAAAUGUGUAAGUAACUGUGCACGUCUUGACGGUACCUAAUCAGAAAGCCACGGCUAACUACGUG
RNAcentral lists this ribosomal RNA (497 nucleotides) under uncultured bacterium. RNAcentral's name for it is "partial 16S ribosomal RNA". It matches the Rfam family "Bacterial small subunit ribosomal RNA", at positions 28 to 507 of the family's 1533-position model. The record is from RNAcentral.